GAAAAGCGUAGUCGAUGGGCAACGGGUUAAUAUUCCCGUACUGGUGGUAACUGCGAAGGGGGGACGGAGAAAGCUAAAUCAUCCGGGCGACGGUUGUCCCGGUUUAAGCGUGCAGGUGGACUGACCAGGCAAAUCCGGUCGGUUGUUAACACUGAGGCGUGACGACGAGCCACCACGGUGGUGAAGUGAUUGAUGCUCUGCUUCCGGGAAAAGCCUCUAAGCUCCAGGUUACCAUUAAUCGUACCCCAAACCGACACAGGUGGUCAGGUAGAGAAUACU
Molecule: ribosomal RNA, 279 nt
Filed under: Salmonella enterica subsp. enterica serovar Newport
Lineage: Bacteria; Pseudomonadati; Pseudomonadota; Gammaproteobacteria; Enterobacterales; Enterobacteriaceae
Description: partial 23S ribosomal RNA
Rfam family: Bacterial large subunit ribosomal RNA
Source: RNAcentral